This 828-nucleotide ribosomal RNA is filed under the name uncultured soil archaeon. RNAcentral's name for it is "bacterial SSU rRNA". It matches the Rfam family "Archaeal small subunit ribosomal RNA", at positions 23 to 857 of the family's 1478-position model. The record is from RNAcentral.
CUGACUGCUAUCGGAUUGGUACUAAGCCAUGCGAGUCAUUGUAGCUAUACAAGGCGGACGGCUCAGUAACACGUAGUCAACAUAACUCGUGGACGUGGAUAACUUCGGGAAACUGAGAAUAAUCCACGAUAGAUCAUAGUGCCUGGAAUGGCUUAUGGUCCAAACAGUUUACUGCCAUGGGAUGGGACUGCGGCCUAUCAGCUUGUUGGUGAGGUAAUGGCCCACCAAGGCGAUUACAGGUACGGGCUCUGAGAGGAGAAGCCCGGAGAUGGGUACUGAGACACGGACCCAGGCCCUAUGGGGCGCAGCAGGCGAGAAACCUUAGCAAUGUGCGAAAGCACGACUGGGUCAGUCCGAGUGAUUCCUGAUAAAGGAGUCUUUUGCCUGUCCUAAAAGCACAGGUGAAUAAGGGGUGGGCAAGUCUGGUGUCAGCCGCCGCGGUAAUACCAGCACCUCGAGUGGUCAGGACAAAAUAUUGGGCCUAAAGCAUCCGUAGCCGGCUCUGCAAGUCUUCGGUUAAAUCCACCUGCUCAACAGAUGGGCCGCUGGAGAUACUACAGAGCUAGGGAGUGGGAGAGGCAGACGGUAUUCAGUGGGUAGGGGUAAAAUCCUCUGAUCCAUUGAGGACCACCAGUGGCGAAGGCGGUCUGCCAGAACACGUUCGACGGUGAGGGAUGAAAGCUGGGGGAGCAAACCGGAUUAGAUACCCGGGUAGUCCCAGCUGUAAACGAUGCAAACUCGGUGAUGCAUUGGCUUAUGGCCAAUGCAGUGCCGCAGGGAAGCCGUUUUGUUUGCCGCCUGGGAAGUACGGACGCAGGUCUGAAACUU